AGCGAACGCUGGCGGCAGGCUUAACACAUGCAAGUCGAGCGGGCACUUCGGUGUCAGCGGCAGACGGGUGAGUAACACGUGGGAACGUACCCUUUGGUUCGGAAUAACGCUGGGAAACUAGCGCUAAUACCGGAUACGCCCUUUUGGGGAAAGGCUUGCUGCCGAAGGGUCGGCCCGCGUCUGAUUAGCUAGUUGGUGGGGUAAUGGCCUACCAAGGCGACGAUCAGUAGCUGGUCUGAGAGGAUGAUCAGCCACACUGGGACUGAGACACGGCCCAGACUCCUACGGGAGGCAGCAGUGGGGAAUAUUGGACAAUGGGCGCAAGCCUGAUCCAGCCAUGCCGCGUGAGUGAUGAAGGCCUUAGGGUUGUAAAGCUCUUUUGUCCGGGACGAUAAUGACGGUACCGGAAGAAUAAGCCCCGGCUAACUUCGUG
This 433-nucleotide ribosomal RNA is filed under the name uncultured bacterium. RNAcentral's name for it is "partial 16S ribosomal RNA". It matches the Rfam family "Bacterial small subunit ribosomal RNA", at positions 29 to 507 of the family's 1533-position model. The record is from RNAcentral.